RNAcentral lists this ribosomal RNA (21 nucleotides) under Oryzias latipes (Japanese medaka). RNAcentral describes it as "partial 12S small subunit ribosomal RNA". Lineage: Eukaryota; Metazoa; Chordata; Actinopteri; Beloniformes; Adrianichthyidae. The record is from RNAcentral.
GGAAGGUGCACUUGGUAAAAU